AUUAUGGUGAACUUCAGAAACAAAUGAAUAGCACCCACCAGGAUUAGUUAAAAAUUAGCUCUAACCUUGUAUCUCAGGAUUAACAAAAACAGGUAAAUCUCUCUGUAAUAUGUCCCCCAACAUCCAAAUUUAUGUUACUUGCAAAUUUGCAAUCAUUAACAGACAUCAUCCCCUAUAAUAAAUCUUACUAACCAAGGCAGUCAAUG
RNAcentral lists this unclassified non-coding RNA (206 nucleotides) under Hevea brasiliensis (rubber tree). The record is from RNAcentral. Lineage: Eukaryota; Viridiplantae; Streptophyta; Magnoliopsida; Malpighiales; Euphorbiaceae.